UACAGAGGGGGCAAGCGUUGUUCGGAAUUACUGGGCGUAAAGGGCGCGUAGGUGGCCUUCUAAGUUGAACGUGAAAUCCCUGGGCUCAACCCAGGAACUGCGUCCAAGACUGGGAGGCUUGAAUCCGGGAGAGGGAUGCGGAAUUCCAGGUGUAGCGGUGAAAUGCGUAGAUAUCGGGAGGAACACCAGUGGCGAAGGCGGCUUCCUGGCCUGUUCUUGACGCUGAGGCGCGAAAGCUAGGGGAGCAAACGGG
This 253-nucleotide ribosomal RNA is filed under the name uncultured bacterium. RNAcentral describes it as "partial 16S ribosomal RNA". It matches the Rfam family "Bacterial small subunit ribosomal RNA", at positions 524 to 776 of the family's 1533-position model. The record is from RNAcentral.